GGGUCAGUAGGUUGGUCGUGCCACCGGUACGUACUGGUCUCACUGAUUCCUCCUUCCUGAAGAACCGUAAUGCCAUUAAUUUGGUGUUGCGGGGAAACAGGACUGUUACUUUGAAAAAAUUAGAGUGUUUAAAGCAAGCUGACGCUUGAAUACAUUAGCAUGGAAUAGUGAAAUAGGACGAUCGAUCCUAUUUUGUUGGUUUCUAGGAUUGACGUA
This 216-nucleotide ribosomal RNA is filed under the name Glomeromycotina sp. RNAcentral's name for it is "partial small subunit ribosomal RNA". The stretch from base 40 to 216 matches the Rfam family "Eukaryotic small subunit ribosomal RNA", at positions 686 to 864 of the family's 1831-position model. The record is from RNAcentral. Lineage: Eukaryota; Fungi; Glomeromycota.